UAAAGUGCGGUUAAAAAGUAGAAGCAAUUUUACAAUCUAGUUCCCCAAAACAAACUUAGCAGUAUGCCAUUUUAGGAAAAGUAAAAAUGAGUUUGUCUUUUGGCUCGCCGUUUUAAUGUCCAACGCUGAAAAGAAAUAUAUCUUUGCAAAUUUGAGGCCUGUGUCAGUAAAUUCAGUCGAGGUGAAGUCAUCCAGGAUGAAUGGCUUUUUUACAAUGACCUAUAUCCUAGAGAGCUCCGUGCCUUCUUCUUUUUUUCUGAUUGAUGCUUUUAGACACGCUACCCUUACAUCACUUAGUCUUUCUUUUUAUUUUUUUUUUAUACACAGAAGUUGCUUUCAUGAAUGCAAAGUGUUUUUUGCAAUGACAAUCUGUAGGUAUGGAGCCAGCAAUACUCCUUUAUAUAUAUUUUAAAUAUUCAGCUUUAGGGUUGUUUUUAUUCACCUGGAAUAAGGCUUCAAACAAAGUGGAAAUAAUUAGGAAUCAAAUCACAAUCUAUGCUGAUGUUUUUUUCUAAUUGCAGGUGAGUCUGGAACGAUAAACAUGAGUUCACUAUCUGUUUGGUACUAACGUUGACUUAUCGGACAACAUCAUUCUAUGAGUGUACACAGGCACACUAAGUAGACACAAACUUCAAGUCAACCUGUUGCUACAUGCCAGUCAUUCCGACAUUCUGAUGCCUACGUUGGGUAAGCGAGAUGAACAUAAAUUGAAGUUUCAGAUUUUGAUAUGCAAUUGAAAUAGAAAGGUGCAUUUUACCUGUGGUGGAGUGGAGACUCUCCAAGCUCCAGUACCGAGACAGGACACCCCUCAAAGUGCCGCUCAGGCUACCUUCAAAUCCCCUGAUACAUCCACCAACCCCAAGACCAGCGUCCACCAUGCUGUCCAUAAUUCCGCUUGUCAGUGAUGCUCCAUGACAUUCGGACCCAGGCGACUCCCCUGAGCUGCCGCUGCUACCACAACUGUCCUUGGGCAGGGGUGCACUCCCUUCUGACGUUUGAUGGGUCCGCAUUUUGAUGCGGACACAAACAACAAGGGAGGGAAUUGUAGUGAGCAAUGCAAAAAAAGGAAGCACAGCGGCUGAAAAAAAUGGUUUAUUCGGCCACCACGGAGACUGCUCGAAGACGAAAGACUAGGCUUGCACUCGCUGAGCCCAGACAAUCCAGACCGACCGGGGUGCUCUGUGAGAAACAGUGAUCCUUGAGGGACAACCGUCCAAACGCCUUAUUGGGUCCAGUGGUAACUCUGGUUUUAAUCUGUCAGAGUACAAAAAUUAUUUACUCAUGAUCAAUAAUGUAGUACUCAGUCUUUGUGAGUGUCAAGCAUGAUAGUUACCUUUGAAUUAAAGGUUGCAGGUUUGUUUGCAUUUUGUACAUGCAAACAAUUAUGCUCCAUUGUUUCACUGACUUGAUUGGUGCUUGAUUGAUGUUGGUCUUUUGGUAAUUUGGGAUUCUCCGCUGUAUGAUAACCUUGGUUGUCUCUGGUGCUGAACCUUAAAGGUAUACAAUUGCCUGACUUUUCCCUCCCAGCCUUGUGGUUUUUUGCUACACACAUGGCAAACACCUUUCUCUGAUUGUGCUGAAGCGAUAGUGAUUUUAUUCUUCUGGUUUUAUUUUGAACUAAACAGAAGGUGUCAGAAAGUGCAGGCUGAACCUUGAGGUCUUCAAGUCCCACCAGGGCACCGAGAGAAUCCUCCAACUCUGAAUCCAAAAUCGGGUGGGCCUCCCUUGAUUUGCUACGGUAUUCAUAACUUCCUUCUAUCGUCUUCUGGCUCAUUUUGAAGGCAUUCUCACCUAAGCCACAAUCUUCUAUUCCAUUAGAUAAUUGAGUGAGGUCUUCAAGAGAUUGUUUAGGCUGAGGAAGGGAAGAAAACGAGUGAUAUUACCCCACAAUUUGAACAUCAUCCUAAAAUAUUCACAAUUUAAAAAAAAAGAGUAUACUUACUUUUCUGUGUAUCAAUGUGCAGGCUGUAUCCAGCACCAAAAUGACAAAGUGAGUAGAAAACCAGCUUAGCACUGCUCCCAUGGUGUAUCUCACACUGGAUGCCAACACAUAACUAAAAUCCAGGAAGACUGUCAGUCUCGAUCCAUGCUUGCGGCAUUCUUUGUUCCUCCAUUGGUCCCAUUUGAUAAAAUCUCAAAAUGUUAAAUUAAUAAUCAUUUUCUUUCUUCAUCAGCAGUAUAGAGGCUCUUUAACACACAGGGAAAAAGGAAACGGUGACCCGCCGUGGUAAUUCUGUGAUCCUCCUACAGUGGCUUAAUCCACCCUGAAAAGGCAUGUACACUGUGAUCUCUGGGAUAAUAAGGACAGACACUAAGAUGCCUGGCUAUAAAUACAGAGCUGUAAAGUCAAGGAGGGCAUUAUGGACCAGUUCAUUGAAGAAAACGUCCAGUGCACAAUAAAAUGGUUGUAAUGCAUCUACAUUACCUUGUGGCCUGAAAACUGUCAAUAAACUGCAAAUUAUAGGGAAGCAACAGAAGUAAUUUCUUCAUGAGGACAUUAUUUUAUAGAUAUUAUUUAAAAGAAAACUUUUAUUUUUCCCUUGGUAGUUUUUGUCUCUUCAUAUACAGUAAAUCUCUGUAUAUGUUAAUAGGAGCCAAUAAACGAUUUGCUGAAAACCUCACUUUUGGCGCCACCUUGUGGUAUGUUGGUGCCAACGACACAAUUAGAAGUGAAUUGAAGAGCUCCAGCACCCUUUGCCACAAUCUGCCUAUAUUAUAUUAACUGGUAUUGGGGGAGAAAAUUAAAAGAGACCAGAAUCUAAUGAGCGAUUUUCUUGCUUUAAAUUUCAAUCUAUUAAGAGUCUACUCAGUCAGCAAUUUUAAAGUAGAUUUGGCUUCAGAUGAAAUUUGCACAACUAACUGACAAAGUCCUUACUGGUCAAUAAAGACACUGAACAAAUACUUUGUAGUACUGUAAGUGAAUUUUGUGCAGUUCCCAGUAUUGAUUUGUUUGACCUCAAGCUUCAAGCAUUUUCUUUUAUUCUACAACACAACAACAAACCAGAUCUUUGAUCGAGAAAGUUUACUGGAUGUACAUUCAUUUUUACAAAAAAAAAAAAAUGCUUAGUUAUAACUAGUUACAACGACAUGACAUUGUUGCCAAAAAAUUGCUCUCAUGUUUUUUGUCUUCACAAGACGUCUCCGAAUCGACCCAGCGUGCAGUGUUUCAGUAACAGCAGAAGCUACGCCAAACCCCUGGUGUCGCUGUAUAAACUUCAUGGCUCCUCAAUAUGGCUUCCCUCCAAUGCCAGAGAGAAUCUCCUGCCUUUCUGUAGCAGUGGGCAUGUCAGGCUUUACACCCUCACUCCUCCUGUGCAACAUUAUGUUGUGCUGAGGAGGAAGAAAGACAAGAAUGAGCAAAAACAUUGCUUAAUAUAACACCCCUGGAACUGUACACUGUAUAUAUCUUGUUAUUCCCACGCCAUGUAUGGUCCAGUAAUUUCCUGCAUAUUCAGUCCCCACAAAUUUAAAGGUAAAUGCAUAUUUAUAUACCCAAUAUUUCCUGCAGUUCUUGUAUCUCUGAAAGUAGACUGUGCACAUAUCCUUAUUAUAGUUAGAAGUAUCCAUACACUUCUGCGAGGCAUCGCUUUCCUAUGAAAAAGAAAACAUACAAAAGAAAUUGAUCAAACAAAACAAGAUUCUAUAUUGCCAAGGAUAAGGUAUUACGUCAAUGCAAGGAUUUAUGUCUUCAUUCCGGAAUUUUCUGGCAUUUUUGGCCAUUUGUAUCUGUGUAGACAAAAAAAAAAAAAACUUUGUUAAACCUCCAGUACGAUUUCAAUUUAUUCCAAU
Molecule: long non-coding RNA, 3789 nt
Organism: Syngnathus typhle (broad-nosed pipefish)
Lineage: Eukaryota; Metazoa; Chordata; Actinopteri; Syngnathiformes; Syngnathidae
Exons: 3
Source: RefSeq, a predicted model, not a curated record